CACACGGCGGGCGGUUCCCGCGCCUCGCCUCACGGCCUCGCCGCUCUCUCCGCGCCGCCGGGCAGCGGGCGCCGUUGGCACAGUUACCCGCUAGCGCGGUGGCUGGCUUUGGCACCAUGCUAAGCAGCUCCACGGCGCCGAUCCGCACCUGAGCCGCCUCAGCAGCGACGAGCGCCGGUGCCUGCCAUGGGCGCGGGGGUAGCGCCGCGGCCCUACCUUGCUGGUCGAAAUCCCUGAGGAAGAGCGCGAUGCGCUGAUCCUUCUUCUCCUGGGAGAGGGCCCCGCGGUCGGACUCCACUCCCGAGUCAGUGCUGCGCCGCUUGCUCGCGGGCUUCUUCAGGGGCAUGGCUGCCACCCAGCAGGACAGCCGGCCGCUCCUCGCCCGGGAAGCUUUUUAACUGCUGCUGACCUCGGCCUAUGAGGAGCAGACGAUGGCUUCCAUACUGGGGAGCAACUGAAACAGAUGCUUACCUAAACUGUUUCCUCCACAACCCUGCAAGAUCCGUCUGGCUCGUUUUUUGGCAUCUUCUGGAAAACUUGGACUGUCCAACAGGUUUGGGUGCAGCAAACUGAGUUCAUGACUAAACUACUGAUGCAACAUAAAAAUUCAGUCCCAUUGGGCCCGGAGCCAGCUUCACUGAUGUGCUCAAGCUACCCACGUAAAAGCAUAAACAGGCCCGUUCUUUAAUAUUUGUUGGCAGCUGUACUUUAAAUAUAAAUCUUCAAAAAUAUUUUUUGUUGUUGAGACUGAGC
Molecule: long non-coding RNA, 753 nt
Organism: Colius striatus (speckled mousebird)
Lineage: Eukaryota; Metazoa; Chordata; Aves; Coliiformes; Coliidae
Exons: 4
Source: RefSeq, a predicted model, not a curated record